UACGUAGGGCGCGAGCGUUGUCCGGAAUUAUUGGGCGUAAAGAGCUCGUAGGCGGCUGGUCGCGUCUGCCGUGAAAGCCCGCGGCUUAACCGUGGGUCUGCGGUGGAUACGGGCCGGCUAGAGGCAGGCAGGGGCAAGUGGAAUUCCUGGUGUAGCGGUGAAAUGCGCAGAUAUCAGGAGGAACACCGGUGGCGAAGGCGGCUUGCUGGGCCUGUCCUGACGCUGAGGAGCGAAAGCGUGGGGAGCGAACAGG
RNAcentral lists this ribosomal RNA (253 nucleotides) under uncultured bacterium. Its description in RNAcentral is "partial 16S ribosomal RNA". It matches the Rfam family "Bacterial small subunit ribosomal RNA", at positions 524 to 776 of the family's 1533-position model. The record is from RNAcentral.